CGUUGUAUAUGAUGCCCCCCAUAGGGGGCCUCACAGAGAUUAGCACCUCUCAGCCCUAGGAUGGUGCCUGGCAAAGAAUCUUGACCGUUCACUUUUUCACCGCGUUGUAUAAAAGCGUCCAGACUCGCAGUGAAACCCUAGCCAGCCGCCGCCCGCAAUCCCCAAUCCCGUCGCGACCGAUUCGCCUCCUCCCCUCCAUCUUCUUCCUCCCGCGCGACGGCCGAGUGUGCUGCUCAGCCUCCACCUCCGGCUUCCACUGCAUCCACUCCUCGGGCCAGCAGGGGCCAACCCCCGCGUCCGUCCAUCUCCUCUCUCUCCCACGCCUCUCCCUCUUCUCUCCUACGACGCUCCCUCUCAGUCCCCUCCGCGGGAGUGCCGCCGCCGGUGGAGCGUGGCUCAAGCGCGCGGGAGCAGGGCCGACGGUGGAGUGCGGCGCGAGGGCGCGGGAGCGGCGCCGCCAGUGGAGCACGGCCCGCUGAGGCGGUCGCCCUCACGGCCAGUGGCAUAGCAGGCUGCGCUUCUCCAUCUCGUCUUCGUCAAGCCGCCCGUGGAGCACGGGCCGCCGAGGCGGUCGCCCAGCGCGAGGGGGAAAUUGGCGACGCCCGAUCCUGGCAAGUCUGUGCCCUCCCCUAUCCUAUCUCCUCCCGUUUUACUUUGAAAUUCCGGUAGACGUGAUGGCAGCGGUCGCAUCUGGGUCGGCGGGCUACUUUUUUUUUCGUAGUAGUAUGAAACGACGCGUGUGUGUCUGAACUUCUUCCUUCUCCAAGGGCUACUUGCAGAUCUAAGGAAAAAGAGAAGAAAGAAAAAUGUAGGGGAAAUUUUGUGAAGAAGAAGAAGAUCAAGUACGUGUGUCGGUUUGAGGAAGAAGAGAAGAAAGAAGAAUCUGGAUACUGGAGCUCGGGGAAAAGAAUUACUAUACUACUGUGAUGUCUUGCGUAUGGUAUUUUCUAACCUUUUUCUGCUUGUGAUUGUUGCAGGUUCUUUUCUCAGACAUAAACGGCUAUGAGGUCGACCUGGGCACAGAAGAGAAGCACUGCUUCUACCGAGAGUCACAUCUCUUGGCCGUUGUCGCCUGAGCCUACUUCUAAAUACUCGUGUCAUGCACUUAUGCUCCAAAUACCUUGUCUCAACCAUGCAAGCUAUUGCUAGCUCCAUGUUUGUUAUCCGUCUUUUGGUGAUCAUAGGUUGAGCGAGUUGAUGAGUUUUAGAAGAGGGUGUUUCUUUUCUUGCCAUAAACAGGGGCCAUAUUGUUUAUUCAGACCGUGGUGCAUCUUUUUAUGUAGUAUAAUGGGACACUGGAACUGGAAGUGCUACUAAAAUUGGAAACAUAUCUUGGCUUGUGUAGCUGGGAAGCAAGAUCAAGAAGUUCUGAGGCGUCAUCUGCGCAUGACCGAGUGCUUGCAAGCGUGAUCAGGAAGCUGAGCAUUGUUCCGGGAAUAUAUUUCAUGUGGUCCUUGGUCUUUUCAUGAAGUUCGGCACCGGCGUGUUCACCAAGGAUGUCGCCAUCAUAGUCCACAAGGGCAUCUCGACAAUAGAAGCCCUGCCGUCCGUGUUCGAUGGCAUCAACUUUGGAGCAUCAGCCUACAUGUACUCUGCUUAUUCCAUAGUAUUGUGAAAUCCUUUCACUCCUAAGAUGACAAGCUGAUGCAUCAAUUUUAGCUGGUUGCCGGACGAGCAGGUGGUGGCUGCAUAAUAUGCGCUGCUCAUUUCCCAUCUAUAUUGUUAUGAUGCUGUUUAUACUGUUCUAUGUAUAUCGAGCAGGUUAA
This is a long non-coding RNA of Lolium perenne, 1766 nucleotides long. RefSeq lists it as uncharacterized. The record is from RefSeq and is a predicted model, not a curated record. Lineage: Eukaryota; Viridiplantae; Streptophyta; Magnoliopsida; Poales; Poaceae.